RNAcentral lists this long non-coding RNA (1852 nucleotides) under Homo sapiens (human). Its description in RNAcentral is "non-protein coding lnc-DTWD1-3:1". Lineage: Eukaryota; Metazoa; Chordata; Mammalia; Primates; Hominidae. The record is from RNAcentral.
GGAAAACUCAGUUUCUAAUGACAAAGGAAGUGGUGAUCAGUCUGCAGCACAGUGCAGAAGUCAGAUGGACCGAUUGGAUCGGGAAGAAGCUUUCUAUCCAUUUGUAAAUAACCUGAGUGAAGAAGAUUAUAGGCUUAUGGAGAUAAUAAUUUGCUAGGCACCCCAGGUGAAAGUACUGAGGAAGAGUUGCUGAGAAGACUACAGCAAACUAAAGAAGGCCCACCACUGCAAAACUCAGGUGAAAAUAGAGGAGGAGACUCUUCAGAUGAUGUGUCUAAUGGUGACUCUAUAAUAGACUGGCUUAACUCUGUCAGACAAACUGGAAAUACAACAAGAAGUGGGCAAAGAGGAAACCAAUCUUGGAGAGCAGUGAGCCGGACUAAUCCAAACAGCGGUAAUUUCAGAUUCAGUUUAGAGAUAAAUGUUAACAGUAAUAAUGGGAGCCAAAAUUCAGAGAAUGAAAAUGAGCCAUCUGCAAGACGUUCUAGUGGAGAAAAUGUGGAAAACAACAGCCAAAGGCAAGUGGAAAACCCACGAUCUGAAUCAACAUCUGCAAGGCCAUCUAGAUCAGAACGAAAUUCAACUGAAGCAUUAACAGAAGUCCCACCUACCAGAGGUCGGGGAGGGCAAGAAGCAGGAGCCCAGACCGUGGGAGAGCCAGAGCAAGAGCUGAGAGAAGUAGGUCACCUCUGCAUCCAAUGAGUGAAAUUCCACGAAGAUCUCAUCAUAGUAUCUCAUCUCAGACUUUUGAACAUCCUUUGGUAAAUGAGAUGGAGGGAAGUUCUAGAACCCGGCCCUGUGUGACAUUGAGACAGCAAAUAUCUGGGCCUGAGUUGCUAAGUAGAGGUCUUUUUGCAGCUUCUGGAAAAAGAAAUGCCUCUCAAGCAGCAGGUUCUUCAGACACAGCGGCCAAUGGUGAAUCUACAGGAUCAGCACAGAGACCUCUAACCAUAGUCCUUGAUCUUCAAGUAAAAAGAGUUAGUCCUGGAGAAUAUCGGCAGAGAGAUAGCAUAGCCAGCAGAACUCGGUCUAGGUCUCAGAGGCCAAACAACACUAUCACCUAUGAAAGUGAGCGAGGAGGUUUCAGGCGUACGUUUUCACGUUCUGAGUGGGCAGGUGUGAGAACCUAUGUCAGUAGCACCAGAAUCCCCAUUUGUAGAAUCUUAAAUACUGGUUUAUGUGAGACUACAUCUGUUGCAAUUCAGACGAUGUUAAGGCAGAUAAUGACAGGUUUUGGUGAGUUAAGCUAUUUUAUGUACAGUGAUAGCGACUCAGAGCCUACUGGCUCAGUCCCAAAUCAAAAUAUGGAAAGGGCAGAGUCACGGAGUGGAAGAGGGGGUUCUGGUGGUGGUAAUAGUUCUGGUUCCAGUUCGAGUUCCAGUUCAAGUUCCAGUUCCAGUUCCAGUCCUAGUUCCAGUUCCGGUGGUGAAAGCUCAGAAACUAGCUCAGAUUUAUUUGAAGGCAGUAAUGAAGGAAGCUUAUCAUCAGGCUCAUCAGGUGCCAGGCGAGAGGGUCGACAUACGGCCCCAGUCAUAUUUCAUUAAAGUGGCUCUUUGCCCUUCCUAGCCUGGCUCAGUUUUCCUCUUAAAUGAGGAUGAUGAUGACCAACCUAGAGGACUCACUAAAGAACAGAUUGACAACUUGGCAAUGAGAAGUUUUGGUGAAAAUGGUGCAUUAAAAACCUGUAGUGUUUGCAUUACAGAAUAUACAGAAAGCAACAAACUUCGUAAACUACCUUGUUCCCAUGAGUACCAUGUCCACUGACUGCAUCGAUCGCUGGUUAUCUGAGAAUUCUACCUGUCCUAUUUGUCGCAGAGCAGUCUUAGCUUCUGGUAACAGAGAAAGUGUUGUG